This 1225-nucleotide long non-coding RNA is filed under the name Pan troglodytes (chimpanzee). RNAcentral's name for it is "long non-coding RNA NONPTRT000879". The record is from RNAcentral. Lineage: Eukaryota; Metazoa; Chordata; Mammalia; Primates; Hominidae.
CCCAGAGACUUGAGCGCAGCAGCAGGAGGGCCUGGCAGGAGAGGGCAGGGCUGGGCAGCCCGAGGACUCCAGCGGGGUGGCCCAAAGAGAGGAGGCUUUCCGGCAUCCCCGGCAUGGCCUAUCCCCUUUGUCCUGCCUGCCCUCUGGACAGAGAGAGACUCAUUAUCCAGUUAGAUGCUAGGCGGUAAGAGGAGGAAGCUAAUUGUGCUAGCGCUAGCUAAUUAAUGCUGCCUUUCCUAUUAACAUUCUUUGGAGUGCUCCAUUUCAAUUAGAUGAUCUGUCCAGGAAGAGAGGCUGUCGUCAGUCCAGAGAAAGUAAGCAAGAGGAGGUGACGGAAGGAGGGAAACAGAGACAGAGACAGAGGAAAAGAGGAGAGAGACCGAAGGGAGAGUGGAAUGGUGGGGGAUGAGGGAGAGACUGAGAUGCAAAUAGGGAAACAAAAGAAGAAACAGAAAGGAAGAAUGACUGAGGAUGAGGGGGAGAGGAGGGGUGCGCAGCAGAAGACUUGCAAGAGAGAGGCCUGGAAGGGGUGGGAAUUGCUCCUGUAAUAUGCAAGAUUCGUAUUAAUGAAAUAAUUAAACUUCCCAUUUGCAACGCCCUAACACGAGCCUGCCAGCUUGCCGAGGGGAUGGUAACUGCUCUGAGUCCCGAUUUGUAUUCGCACUGGAGGCAGCUCAGACUCACCCAAUCUCCAAAGGGAAAAACCAAGUCUGCAUGUGGAGGCAAGGCUGCCAAAAUCACCAGCCCACCCAGAUUCAAGGGGAAGGAAUGCAGGCAUUAGGAAAUAAAGGAAGAUGCAGCUUCCUUCUGGCUCUCUUCGGACGCUCAUCCUUGGGAUCAGCCACUGUGUUACGAGAAUGUCCAAACUAGCCCAUGCGGAGAGAUCACUCGUAGGACUUCCUGCUGACAACCAACCUGACAGCCAGCAUCAACCACCAUGUGAUGUGAGCAUGUGAGCGACGCUGCUGCAGACAAUUCCAGCCCCCGGUCAUUGAGUAACCACUAGCCUUGAAGUCUUUCCAGCCGAGGCCCAGAUACCACAGAGUAGAGCUCAGCCAUCCUCUCCUGUGCCCUGUCCUGACCCGCGGAAUGCACGAUAGUUAUUAUACAUCUCUACACUCCGGGAUGUUUUGUUACAUAGCAAUAGCAACUGCAACAAUUGCAGUGAAGCCUUGUUCUGUAUGUGUGGCUCCAUGCCCUGCAGACAGCAUUUGCUGGAUUUAAG